This 499-nucleotide long non-coding RNA is filed under the name Panax ginseng (ginseng). RNAcentral's name for it is "long non-coding RNA (PGIN_LNC010159)". Lineage: Eukaryota; Viridiplantae; Streptophyta; Magnoliopsida; Apiales; Araliaceae. The record is from RNAcentral.
GAAAGACUCGAGAAACUUUCUGCAUUGUCAGCACAGAUUGAGACACUUUCGAGGAUGUUUGAAGCUUUUGAAGCUCAGCGUCGUCAAAGUAUGGUGGUUACUUGUGAUUAUUGUGCUGGAAAUCAUAUGAGUCAUCAAUGCACCAUCAGUUUCGAGCCGGUACAGUAUAGUGGUGAUUACCCCAACAGUCAUGUCUAUCCCAACAACUAUCAUCAGGAUUGGGGGUAUCACCCAGAUUUUUCAGGGAGUAACAAUUAAGAUCAAUUUUAUGCUCCAAGUCCAACAUACCCACAGGAUUUCUUGUGUCCACCUCCACUACAACAGGAAGAACAUUCAAAUUGGGAGGAAGCCUUGGAAAAAUUUAUUAAAGCUUCUGAAAAAAGGAAUGAGGAACAAGACAAGAAAAUGAAUCAAGUAGAGCUGAAUUUGCAAAGCCAAGGGGCGUUGAUCAAGAAUUUGGAAAAUCAAGUGGAACAGAUAGCACAUGCGUUGAACAACC